CAAUCUCCUCUCCAGAUAGCACAGUCCUUAUCUGAUUGAGAAUUACAUGGUUAAUAAUCUCAAUAAAUCUGGAAGGUGCCAAGCAGUGAAAGGCAACAAUAUCAUCUCCAUGGAUCUGAAGAACUCUUGUUUAUUCACAGCCAACACAAAAAGAGAUUUCUCAGCCAUGACAUCAGUGAAAUAGAAUUAAUUACCAUCUGGGAUGCACUACAGCCAGUUCUACAGGCUUUGUGACUUUAUGUAUUUUUCUGUCAUCAGCUUCCUCAAUAUGAUCAAGGGGGAAAAACUACUACUGGACCGUAGUUCCCAUCCCUAAACAUUUGUGAGUUCUGAGGAAAGACAGAUGGAAAUGUUGAAAUCUUGUGGUUCUGGACUUGUCAUUGAGAAAACAUUAUAAAGUGCCCUUUUUCAUGAGUACUUUGAUAAACAGAUGAGAGAAACCUGCAUAUGAAGAUGUGACAUCUUUCAAAAA
Long non-coding RNA from Crotalus tigris (Tiger rattlesnake), 472 nucleotides. RefSeq lists it as uncharacterized. NCBI's taxonomy places the organism in Eukaryota, Metazoa, Chordata, Lepidosauria, Squamata, Viperidae. The transcript has 3 exons. The record is from RefSeq and is a predicted model, not a curated record.